UCCACCAGAGAAGGCCUGCAGCUGAUAA
Molecule: unclassified non-coding RNA, 28 nt
Filed under: Mus musculus (house mouse)
Lineage: Eukaryota; Metazoa; Chordata; Mammalia; Rodentia; Muridae
Description: oocyte_clustered_small_RNA10103
Source: RNAcentral